Long non-coding RNA from Micropterus salmoides (largemouth bass), 1314 nucleotides. RefSeq lists it as uncharacterized. The record is from RefSeq and is a predicted model, not a curated record. NCBI's taxonomy places the organism in Eukaryota, Metazoa, Chordata, Actinopteri, Centrarchiformes, Centrarchidae. The transcript is spliced from 3 exons.
GAAGUCCGUUUUUUUGAAGCUCCUCCCUCGUGGCUGAUCAGAGUUUUUUGUCACUUUUUUGUUUUUACUUUAUCGUUGUCCGUAACAGGAGAGUUUUGACCUCCUGGUGUUUGCAUGAGCGGUGAUGCCUUCAGGGACGUCUAGUCGUCGCUGAUGACGUCCACGUCCUCCCCCCCGGGCUGCUGUGUGGCUGCUCUCCAGCGGUUGAUGUGCUGACUGCCCUUCCUCUUCUGCUGAGCUUCUGGAGACUCUUCCUCCAACUUCUGACGCUUGUGCUUCGUCCUGCGGUUCUGAAACCAAACCUUCACCUGCACACCGACAGAGAGAGAGACAGGUGUGUCUUAAUACAGUGAAAUGAGCUCAUAAAUAAAUCUGGGAUGAUUCACAUCGUUUCGCUGGCGUCAGGACUCGUAUCGCUGUGGCGACACCCGAUGACAAACGCUGUCAAUCAUUCCUGAGAAAAGGGGCAGGGAGCGUCUCGGAGCUGACUAACCGUCGACUCACGGUCCCUCCCCUCCACAGUCACUGGACCGCCGCCAGCUGCCUUCAGAUCAUACCUGAGCUCAUCCUGAGAAACACGAGGACAUAACGGAAGACUCGCCGGAAAGCAGCGAUGUUUCAGCGCUGACGUUGCUAAGCAAGGCACUGACGCCAGCAGAGUUGGGGGUUUAAAUCCCGGGAGGUUUGAUGUACACUUAACUACUGAGGAAUCAACUGCCAUCAUUUUUUAUUUUCACUAUUUCAUAUAAGUUUUCAUUUCAGUGAGUAAAAUUUUAUUGAAGUUACUUUUUUAAAGUGGUCAUAUUAUGCACAUUUUCAGGUUCAUAAUUUUAUGUAAGGGAAUGCACCAGAACAGGUUUGUGUUUGUCAGACUGUACAUCGCUGCAUCGUGUGUUGAACUCUCCAUUUUAGCUACCGAGUGAAGCAUCUCAUCAAUCACUCAAUCUUUGUUGGGAGUUUCACAUGUGCAGUACCUAGUUAAGGCCUCUAGCCAAUCAGAAGCAGAGUAGGGUGGGUCCUAAACACAAGGUUUAGCUGUACAUGUUCCCAAACCUGCUUUUAAGUAUAAUUUCUACUGAAAGAAUUCUUAAUAUAUAAAAUUCAGAAUAUCUGUGUUUGAGACUAUAUUCCAAAUUAAUUAAUUAAUUAUUUUUUUUACUGACUUUCACUGCAAGUUGUUAACUUUUAGUUUAGUUUUAUAUAUUCAGUGUAAUUUGUACAAUGAUUUCUAUACUAUCAGCUGGGGGAAGGUUCAGUUACGUUAAUUGUGGUAAAUGUUAAAAAUUCAAUAAAUAAGACUUUGACAGUCAGAAA